RNAcentral lists this long non-coding RNA (2756 nucleotides) under Equus caballus (horse). RNAcentral describes it as "lncRNA (ENSECAG00000044866.1)". The record is from RNAcentral. Lineage: Eukaryota; Metazoa; Chordata; Mammalia; Perissodactyla; Equidae.
GGCAGUUCGACAGCAGGGUCGAAGAAAGGUGCUUUUAACCAUGGGGUAGAUGAACCGUGUUAUGUUUGAAGGCGGGGGGGGGAUUCCACGGGAAGGGGGAGAAGGGUGUAAGAGACCGAGAGAAAGAAAGAGGAAGCAAGCAAGGAUGAGGGAGAGGAUGGGGCCAACCGCCCAGGAAGAAAGGUCAGCAUGGGCAAGGGAGAACUGCUCAGAGAGAUGUGAGGGAGGGAAUGGGUGAAAGUGAAGGAAUGUUCGAGGUGUUCGAGAUGCAUUGGCUGGCCCUGAUCUUUUCAGUGGAGCAGGUCAGCUCCUGGGAGUGGGGUCAGGACAGUGGAAACCAUGUGAACAACUACUAUAAAGGGACAAGAGGGGAAAAAAGGGAUGUGUACUUAAAGCAGCCAGCUUGGUCCACUGGUCAACAACCCUCUUAAUGCAAGUCCCCACUGAGAAAGGGGAACACUAACCACUAAAAUUAGGGUUGGACUUUAUUAGCUGUCAUUUAUGCACAUUAACCUUUCAAGUUUGUGCCAAUGAGCUGGCUCUAUACAUUGUAUCAGCCAGGUUUCAGUCAGAAAAGCCAGCCACUAUGUGUGAUUUAUAAUGAGACUUAAAAUGUGGAUUAGAGCUGAAGCAGUUGUGGGACCUGGUGAAGAAGUCUGUGCAAGGCUGUUGCCUCCACGGCUGGUGUCGGGACUGAAGUCACAUAGAUCAGCAAACUGGAUGUGCAAUGAGGGAGAGCAAAGACAAACUGGAACUCAUGAGGACAACUGGUACCUGUAUGUCUCGCCGUCUCCAGCCUUCAGGAUGUGAGUGACCUGCAGAAGCAGCUGGGGCCCUUUGUCAGAGUUGCCCAUAUACCUGUUCCAGGUUCUGGAGGAGCUGUAGCCCCACGCCAAGAGGGAAGGGAAUUCUGGGAAACUUAGUUCAAUGCAGCUGAGUAGACAACCUACAAAGUCACCACACCCGGUCUCUAUGUUCAAAAGUGUUUUGAUGCAGUCCACAGACUUAUGCAGGAAUCUGGGACACGAAGCAGACAGCAAGCAACGUUUGAGAUUUAUAAGAGCAGAAACGCUAGCCCAAAGGUUACUAUUUGGACCGAAGUCGCAUUUUGUGUUCCCACUGGCAAAGUGACAUUCAAAACUUCGGUUUUUGGUCCUCCAUGAGAGUGAGACCUGAGACGCCCUCUCUCCGCUGGCGGUGGCAGAGGGGCAAGGCCACUCCUGGCGCAACUGUUGUAUAACUGUCAUUGCAGCCAGAAGUUUGGGGUAAGAGUUGGCCCAGGGUUUUUAGAAGCGUAGCCUUUAGUGAGAUUUUUCUUGUCUCGACAACCCUCGGAACCUAGCGGUGCUGAGGGAUCAGAGUGCCCCCACGGCCUGCACCCCAAACAGCGCCUGGCGGGAGUGGUUAAUUCGGGUGGGAGCAGCUCAGCUGUGAACUCGAAGACUCGACAAUGUCCCAGAUCCUCAUAAAGCCGCUCACAUAUUUGCCAUCUAACGAAGCAUGGCUGAAAUAACACAAUCCCCUGGCUGUAGGUUUGAGGAAUGCAGCGUCAGCCAGCCCCCCGCCCUGUGGCUUCCGUUCCUCUCCUCGGAGGUGGCCAGCUGAGGAAUCAGCCUCUUGGUUCUGAGCGAGGGGGGACAACGUCUGUUCUGACAUGUGCCCUGCCUGCUUCGUCUUUCAGCUGGCUUCAAACACGAAAGGAAUCAAUGCCAAGCUAGAGACUAGACAGCUAUGUCUUCUGUAUUUAAGCUCCAGUGGCCACAGCCGAUGCCCGGGAAAGGGUUACAUUUUAGUCAGACUCAGAUGUCAUUGAGUUUUGCUACACAUGUGCAAUCAAGGAAGCUGGAAAGCCGGACUGCUUAAUAGGACCUGAGUUAGAAGGAUUUUGGAAACUGUUCUUGGAACUGUGAAAAGCUGGCUUCCCAAAGCUUCGCUCAAUCCCUUCUUUUUCUUUCCUCCUCCUCGGUUUCCUCUUCCUUCGUCCGCCUUUUCCUUUUUCUGUCCAUCUUUCUCAUUCCACAAACACCUAACCAAGUAUUUACUGGGAUCAGGCCUGUGAUGGGAUCUGGGAGUACCUGGGAGUCAGAGCCUCUGCCCUCAGGGGACAAAUCAAUAAGUACAACACUGUCCGGCGGGGCAGACACAGGGCGUGGGGAGAUGUCAGGUGAGCUGAGUCUUGAAAGCAGGAGUUACCUGGUGGUCUCCUUUGUUUUCAAUUCUCAUUUCUCUGCCCAAACAUCCUUUUUUUGUACCCUUUGCCCACUACUGGACUGAAGAAAGGAGGAGCCCGGCAGCCGGUAGUAAACCUUGAAGUCACGCUUCCUAACGGCCAUCCCUGGACCCCACCUCCGGGUAAAGAAACAUUUUCAAACACCAAACUCUUCUAAGUUCCCGACUCUCCAGAAAUUCCCAAAGGAAUGUAUCAAACACCCAAUCACCUGCCCACUUUUAGUUAGAGCCGGUUAAGUCCUCUCAGCUGUGUUGGCCUGUUAAGGUUUCUGCAAUUCUCUUAGAACACAAACACACUUCACUUUCAAGUCUCUUUCCUGUUAUUCACGGUUUUCCUGGCUGUGAUGCUAGAUUUUGCUGUUGCCCUUACUUUCACUCAUGCCCCAUCCACACCAAAGCUUGUAAGGUGGACAGAAACUGUUUCAAACAUGAUUUGGCUCCCAGCCUGAGAGCUGAAUUUAUCACUCACCUGUCCCCUGAUAUCACACCUGUCUUCCCAAGAGGAACGUCUGGUACCUGGCCCAACC